GACGAACGCUGGCGGCGUGCCUAAUACAUGCAAGUAGAAUGCUGAAGAGAGGAGCUUGCUCUUCUUGGAUGAGUUGCGAACGGGUGAGUAACGCGUAGGUAACCUGCCUUGUAGCGGGGGAUAACUAUUGGAAACGAUAGCUAAUACCGCAUAACAAUGGAUGACACAUGUCAUUUAUUUGAAAGGGGCAAUUGUUCCACUACAAGAUGGACCUGCGUUGUAUUAGCUAGUAGGUGAGGUAAUGGCUCACCUAGGCGACGAUACAUAGCCGACCUGAGAGGGUGAUCGGCCACACUGGGACUGAGACACGGCCCAGACUCCUACGGGAGGCAGCAGUAGGGAAUCUUCGGCAAUGGGGGCAACCCUGACCGAGCAACGCCGCGUGAGUGAAGAAGGUUUUCGGAUCGUAAAGCUCUGUUGUAAGUCAAGAACGGGUGUGAGAGUGGAAAGUUCACACUGUGACGGUAGCUUACCAGAAAGGGACGGCUAACUACGUG
This 497-nucleotide ribosomal RNA is filed under the name uncultured bacterium. RNAcentral's name for it is "partial 16S ribosomal RNA". It matches the Rfam family "Bacterial small subunit ribosomal RNA", at positions 28 to 507 of the family's 1533-position model. The record is from RNAcentral.